ACAUCUUAAAACUUAUCCAAGAUUUCCAUCUUGGGUAUUUCACCCCCUCUAGCGAAUUCUGUUUGGAAAUGCUCCGUUCAAUGGCCAUUUCCGCUUUUUGCCUAUCUCCUUUUUUUAACACAAACCCAAUUGAAAUUUCUGACUGAAACUGUUUUCUUUUCGAAAGAUCUGAAAAUACACAUUGAAAAUGUUGAAACAACUCUUAGCAACGGAUAUCUUGGCUCU
This 225-nucleotide unclassified non-coding RNA is filed under the name rhizosphere metagenome. RNAcentral describes it as "partial ribosomal RNA internal transcribed spacer region". The record is from RNAcentral.